UACUAGGAAAGUACCAAACUUGGCUCAUUGU
RNAcentral lists this non-coding RNA (31 nucleotides) under Mus musculus (house mouse). The record is from RNAcentral. Lineage: Eukaryota; Metazoa; Chordata; Mammalia; Rodentia; Muridae.